CGGCUACCACAUCCAAGGAAGGCAGCAGGCGCGCAAAUUACCCAAUCCCGACACGGGGAGGUAGUGACAAUAAAUACUGAUACAGGACUCUUUUGGGUCUUGUAAUUGGAAUGAGUACAAUUUAAAUCCCUUAACGAGGAACAAUUGGAGGGCAAGUCUGGUGCCAGCAGCCGCGGUAAUUCCAGCUCCAAUAGCGUAUAUUAAAGUUGUUGCAGUUAAAAAGCUCGUAGUUGAACCUUGGGCCUGGCUGGCCGGUCCGCCUCACCGCGUGCACUGGUCCGGCCGGGCCUUUCCUUCUGGGGAGCCGCAUGCCCUUCACUGGGUGUGUCGGGGAACCAGGACUUUUACUUUGAAAAAAUUAGAGUGUUCAAAGCAGGCCUAUGCUCGAAUACAUUAGCAUGGAAUAAUAGAAUAGGACGUGUGGUUCUAUUUUGUUGGUUUCUAGGACCGCCGUAAUGAUUAAUAGGGAUAGUCGGGGGCAUCAGUAUUCAAUUGUCAGAGGUGAAAUUCUUGGAUUUAUUGAAGACUAACUACUGCGAAAGCAUUUGCCAAGGAUGUUUUCAUUAAUCAGUGAACGAAAGUUAGGGGAUCGAAGACGAUCAGAUACCGUCGUAGUCUUAACCAUAAACUAUGCCGACUAGGGAUCGGACGGGAUUCUAUAAUGACCCGUUCGGCACCUUACGAGAAAUCAAAGUUUUUGGGUUCUGGGGGGAGUAUGGUCGCAAGGCUGAAACUUAAAGAAA
Molecule: ribosomal RNA, 743 nt
Filed under: uncultured fungus
Lineage: Eukaryota; Fungi
Description: SSU rRNA
Rfam family: Eukaryotic small subunit ribosomal RNA
Source: RNAcentral